This is a long non-coding RNA of Prunus dulcis (almond), 501 nucleotides long. RefSeq lists it as uncharacterized. NCBI's taxonomy places the organism in Eukaryota, Viridiplantae, Streptophyta, Magnoliopsida, Rosales, Rosaceae. The transcript has 3 exons. The record is from RefSeq and is a predicted model, not a curated record.
CUUAGCUUGAUUAUUUCUUUGCCGUUCUCUUGUUUGGUCUUGUGAUCUGCACAGAAAUGAAGGAAAAUCAAAGCAUCCUUCUCUUCUCAAAUAGGAAGAGACUCAAACACAAACAUGUUUUGGUUCAGAUUAUGAAUCACAGACAUCAUUACAUCGAAUCCUUGAUUUACCAGACAAUGUAACUUGAAGGGAGCAAAAGACAUCUCUUGCCCGGCAACGAUUGAACAAAGUACGACUCCGUACUUAUAUAUAUUUUGCGACCCGGUGACGAGAGAUCAUGCUGUUUUCAUUUUGCUGGUCACGGCAGGGAAGUAUUCAACUCAAGCACAUCUAGAGGUUUCGAUGUCAAAAAACCUGUGGUGGUGCCAUCUAAAAGAUCAUCAGAAGCUGUAGUUGUGCCAUCUAAUACGAUUCUUACGAAAAACAGAUGUGAUGUUGUCGAAUCAAUGAUUUACCAGAUGCUUAUAACUUUUGUAAUUUUUAAACAUAUCAAUUUGUUUC